CGGGGUGUAGCGCAGUCCGGUAGCGUGCUUCGUUCGGGACGAAGAGGUCGCUGGUUCGAAUCCAGUCACCCCGA
Molecule: transfer RNA, 74 nt
Filed under: Cyclobacteriaceae bacterium
Lineage: Bacteria; Pseudomonadati; Bacteroidota; Cytophagia; Cytophagales; Cyclobacteriaceae
Description: tRNA-Pro
Rfam family: tRNA
About the family: Transfer RNA (tRNA) molecules are approximately 80 nucleotides in length. Their secondary structure includes four short double-helical elements and three loops (D, anti-codon, and T loops).
Source: RNAcentral